CUCCGGUUGAUCCUGCCGGACCCGACUGCUAUCAGAGUGGGACUAAGCCAUGCGAGUCAACAUAGCAAUAUGUGGCAUACGGCUCAGUAACACGUAGUCAACAUGCCCAGGGGACGUGGAUAACCUCGGGAAACUGAGGAUAAACCGCGAUAGGUCAUCACUUCUGGAAUGGGUAAUGACUUAAAUCUAUAUGGCCCCUGGAUUGGACUGCGGCCGAUCAGGCUGUUGGUGAGGUAAUGGCCCACCAAACCUGUAACCGGUACGGGCUCUGAGAGGAGGAGCCCGGAGAUGGGCACUGAGACAAGGGCCCAGGCCCUAUGGGGCGCAGCAGGCGCGAAACCUCUGCAAUAGGUGAAAGCUUGACAGGGUUACUCUGAGUGAUUUCCGUUAAGGAGAUCUUUUGGCACCUCUAAAAAUGGUGCAGAAUAAGGGGUGGGCAAGUCUGGUGUCAGCCGCCGCGGUAAUACCAGCACCCCGAGUGGUCGGGACGUUUAUUGGGCCUAAAGCAUCCGUAGCCGGUUCUACAAGUCUUCCGUUAAAUCCACCUGCUUAACAGAUGGGCUGCGGAGGAUACUAUAAGACUAGGAGGCAGGAGAGGCAAGCGGUACUCAGUGGGUAGGGGUAAAAUCCGUUGAUCCAUUGAAGACCACCAGUGGCGAAGGCGGCUUGCCAGAAUGCGCUCGACGGUGAGGGAUGAAAGCUGGGGGAGCAAACCGGAUUAGAUACCCGGGUAGUCCCAGCUGUAAACGAUGCAGACUCGGUGAUGGACUAGCUUUAUGCUAGUCCAGUGCCGCAGGGAAGCCGUUAAGUCUGCCGCCUGGGGAGUACGGUCGCAAGACUGAAACUUAAGGAAUUGGCGGGGGAGCA
Molecule: ribosomal RNA, 867 nt
Filed under: uncultured archaeon
Lineage: Archaea
Description: bacterial SSU rRNA
Rfam family: Archaeal small subunit ribosomal RNA
Source: RNAcentral